RNAcentral lists this long non-coding RNA (11137 nucleotides) under Gossypium barbadense (sea-island cotton). RNAcentral describes it as "long non-coding RNA (GBAR_LNC022198)". Lineage: Eukaryota; Viridiplantae; Streptophyta; Magnoliopsida; Malvales; Malvaceae. The record is from RNAcentral.
GAGAACGCCCAUUUAUACAAACAAAUAUAAGUGGGCAAAAUCAAUACUCAUAAUAAAGACACAAAGACGACUAAAAACCUUAUUAAACUAGAUCCAGUAUGCAGCAUAACAGAAAAGGGGGUAUUUCAAGGAGUAGAGCGAGAAGGUGGUGGAGAAAAGAAAGGAAUAGAAGGAACUGCAGUUGGGAUUGAGGGAAUGCUUGGCAGAGGCGACAGUCCUCUUGGCAAUGUGGUAGGAAGUGGAGGAAGCGCCCCAGGGUUUGGGAGAUAAGGGAAAGAUGGCAAUGGUGGAAAAGAGAAAGGAAUAGGGGGAAUUGCAGUUGGGAUUGUGGGGACUGAGGGAAUGCUUGGCAGAGGGGGCAGUCCUGUUGGGAAUGUGGUAGGAAGUGGAGGAAGCGCCCCAGGCCAUGGGAAUGAUUGUCGGGAUGGCGUUGGGAGAUUAGGGAAAGAUGGUAAACUUUGCGGUUGAGGCUGCUGCAGAAGGUGACGAGCUGCUACCCCAACAUCAAUGCUUGCAAAUGACAAAGCAAUCAAGAAUGCUAAAGCAAGGAAAUUGAAAGAGGCCAUUUUUGUUCAGAGAUUUCGAAACAAAUGAAGCAGAUGAAACAAAGUUCUUUAUCUGAAUAGUUGUGGGUGAAGAAAACAAAGCAUGGUAUUGAGGUUUAUAUAGGCAUUGGAGCAGUGAAUAGAAAUCCCCUGCCCCUAAACAAUGCUCCAUGCAUGCCCCCAAACCAAAAUAGCUCCACAUGUUUUUUAUUUUUUUCAUUUUAAUUUUUUAAAAUAAAAACUCUGUAAUGAUUUGAAUUAAUUUUUAACUUAUUAUCAACGUUUUUAUUUUUGUUUUAUUUUUAUUUUACAUUAAUUUUACCUAUUCUUUAAUUAACAAAUUUAUAAUGACUUAGAGUUAAUUUGAGAGAUUUUUUUUUUAUAAUUGGUCUUAUAAUAAAAUUUUACAAAGCAGAAACAAGUUCCACUGUGAAAACAUGAUCCUUAAAUUUUUGGAGAUAACCAUGUUAAUUUUUUAAUCCCAACCAAAAUUCUAAAUAAUUCUUUUAUGUCAUAUUAAAUACACGUAACGUCUUAUAAAAAUUGUCAAUAAAUUAUGCAUAGUGACAAGGUUAUUCAAAUCUAAUUUCAUUGUUAAUACCUAUUUCUAUUUUUCUUCUACUGUCUUCAACUUUAAAUAUAAAGGGAUUGAAAUUUUAAGAAUUGAGAUUUCUUUUCUCUGUAUUAGUGGACGUUUGAUUUUUUAUUUUAUUUUUUUAUUGGAAUUGAUACAUAUCUUUUCAGAUUUAUCAAUAUAUUUUAAAAUUUUAUAAGAUAUGUAUAUAAAUAUAUUAAAAAUAUAAAAUGAAUGAAACUAAAUACAUUUCACAUAUAAAAUAUUCAUUAAUCAACUUAAGAAAUAAAAAUUUAUCAUUCAAAUAAUCCAAAAUUAUUACUAAUAAUCUCAUUUAAUAUGAAAUUUUAAGGAUUUAGCUCAUUUACUUAAUAAAAGUAGUUGAAAGGUGAAUGAAUAUUUUUUUUAUAAUCGGGUGAAUGGUUUUUUUCUUAAUUAUAUUUUUAAUGUGAAAGUAUAUUCUAAUUUUUUUUAAAAACUUUACAUUCCGAUGUAGCAUUUUUAAUUAGUCACGUUUCAAUUAAGUUUUUAGCAUAAUAGAAAAUAAUUAAAAGUUUAAUAUUUUUAAUAUUAUUCAUGCGCAGGACGGUGCACUAUGUUCUGGCAGGUGUGACUGGAAUUGAUCGGAAUGAGUUGGUGCAAUUGGUACGGACCGAAAUUUUUACCAGUGUAGAAAAAGGGUGUUGGGUGUUUCACAAUAUUAUUGAAAGCAAACCAAAAAGACCAAGAACCGAUGAACCCGAGAACUAGAGUAAACUGCAGUUAAACUACAAAUCAUCUGUCGAUUAAGUCGUAUUUUCACAUUCUUUAAACCGGAAAAACAAAAAUUACACUUCAAAUCCCUUGAGCCAUUGUUAUACUUUUUCUCUGCACUCAAUGAAAUAAAACACAACAUAAAAAAAAUAAGCACCAUCUCUUUUAUUACUUUUACUACUAAAAUAACUUUUUUUUUCUUGUGAAAAACCUAAGAUGGACUUAUAACAUAUAAUAAAAAGGGAAAAAAAAGACAAAUUAGGAAAGAUGAAAGAUGGGGAGAGGGUUUUAAAAUUCAAAGCCGUCAAAAUAGAUGAGUUUGGGGUUAUUAGUAUUAUUUUAUAUUGUUCAAUAGAAAAUUAAUUGUAUCGGUGGUUGAACCUGUGAGAUCAAAAAUUAAUUAAUUGAUUAAUUUAAUUAUCGAUCUAAUUUUAAAAAUAUUAAUAUUUCGGUAUAAAAUUAAUACAGUGCACACAAAUUAAUAUAACCGAAAUCUGUACGAAACCGAGCACCUUAAUUUAAUACAUAAUUUGACAUUCAUAUAAAAUAUUAUCUUGGAAAUAUAUUGAAAGAGGAAAGUAAUCGUAUGUAAAUGGAUAACUUGGAAGAUAUAAUGAAGCAGGAAUCAUUAUAUUAACAGUGGCAUCUUCUCGAUGUACGACUGCUCACUAUUUUGACUGCAUUUAUCGUUUGAUUCUUUUCUUAAUUAGCCAAACUCAUGUUAACAAUGGUAUAACAGUAAUUAAUUACUUCAUGGACAGAACAUCAAUAUAUAAAUACCCCAUAUAUAAUAAGCAACAACGUAUCAAAAUACACCAAAUAAUGGGAAUUGGAGAACGCCCAUUUAUACAAACAAAUAUAAGUGGGCAAAAUCAAUACUCAUAAUAAAGACACAAAGACGAUUAAAAGCCUUAUUAAACUAGAUCCAGUAUGCAGCAUAACAGAAAAUGGGGUAUUUCAAGGAGUAGAGCGAGAAGGUGGUGGAGAAAAGAAAGGAAUAGAGGGAACUGCAGUUGGGAUUGAGGGAAUGCUUGGCAGAGGCGGCAGUCCUCUUGGCAAUGUGGUAGGAAGUGGAGGAAGCGCCCCAGGGUUUGGGAGAUAAGGGAAAGAUGGCAAUGGUGGAAAAGAGAAAGGAAUAGGGGGAACUGCAGUUGGGAUUGUGGGGACUGAGGGAAUGCUUGGCAGGGGGGGUAGUCCUGUUGGCAAUGUGGUAGGAAGUGGAGGAAGCGCCCCAGGCCAUGGGAAUGAUUGUCGGGAUGGAGUUGGGAGAUUAGGGAAAGAUGGUAAACUUUGCGGUUGAGGCUGCUGCAGAAGGUGACGAGCUGCUACCCCAACAUCAAUGCUUGCAAAUGACAAAGCAAUCAAGAAUGCUAAAGCAAGGCAAUUGAAAGAGGCCAUUUUUGUUGAGAGAUUUCGAAACAAAUGAAGCAGAUGAAACAAAGUUCUUUAUCUAAAUAGUUGUGAGUGAGGAAAACAAAGCAUGGUAUUGAGGUUUAUAUAGGAAUUGGAGCAGUGAAUAGAAAUCCCCUGGCCCUAAACAAUGCCCCAUGCAUGCCCCCAAACCAAAAUAGCGCCACAUGUUUUUUAUUUUUUCCAUUUUAAUUGUAGUUCAUUUUUUAAAUAAAAUUUUUUUAAUGAUUUGGAUGAAUUUUUAACUUAUUAUCAACGUUUUUGUUUUUGUUUUAUUUUCUAUUAAUUUUACCUAUUCUUUAAUUAACAAAUUUAUAAUGAAUUGGAAUUAAUUUAACAGUUUUUUUUAUAAUCGUUCUUAUAAUAAAAUUUAAAAAGGUGGGAAUGAGUCCCACAAUGACAACAUGAUCCUUAAAUUUUGGGUGGUGGCAUGCCUUUAGUCAAAGGGUCAGAUAACAUUUGCUCAGUGUUAAUGUGCUCAAUGACGACUUUCUUUUCUUUAACAUGUUUCCUUAUGACUAGAUACUUAAAGUCGAUAGGUUUACUUCGACUUUCACUUUUUUACUCUUAGCCAUAAAGACAGCAAUUGAAUUGUCACAAUAUAUGAAAUAAUUGAAACCUAUAAUGACUCAGCUCAAAAAACUCGAGCCUCAAACCCAAAUUAAAUUAAAUCAAAAUCAUAAUUUAUUAUAUACAAUUGCAUAAAAUUAACAUAUUUUAAGUGUCAUAGUGCAUGUACAGCCCAAAUUUAGCUCGGGCCCCAAAACCUACCCAAACCCAAGUAACCAAUACAACUAGGGUUGAGCAAAAUUCGAUUCGACUCGAAAAAAUUGAAAAAAAAUUCGAAUUUCGAGUUAAACGAAUCGAGUUAUUCGAGUUAAUCGAGUUAUUCGAAUCAACUCGAUUUUUUUUUCGAAUUUCGAGUUCGAAUCGAGUUGAUUUUUCGAAUUCGAAUAACUCGAAUAAUUCGAAUAAUUCGAAUAUCAAAAUAUAAUAUUUUAGAGUUUUACCCUAAACUCCCAAACUUUUUUACUUUUCCCUCAAAACUUUUACUCCUUCCCACUUUUUCCCCAAAACUUUUACUCCCCUCCCCUCCCAACCCCCCAAUCUACCCAAAAUCUAUUUCCCACCAAAAUUUUACUCUUCCAUUCAUUUUUUUUUCCAAAAUUUUACUCUCAAAAACCCUCAAAACCUUUUAUUUUCUCCCAAAAUUUUUACUCCCUCCCACUUUUCCCCUAAAACUUUUAUUCUCUUCCCAUCCCACCUCCCAUCUACCCCAAACCCUCCCCCUCCAAUUUUUUUUUAAUAUUUUCCCUCCAAAAUUUUACUUCCCUUAUUUACUUUCCCUCAAACUUUUAUUCCCCAAAACUUUUUGUUUUCCCCCUAAACUUUUACUUCUCACCCUUUACUCUCAAAUAAAAAAUCAAAAUUAUCCAAAAAAAAUCACUAAACAUAAAUAGUAAUAAUUUUAUUUAUAUAUAAUAUUUAUAUUAUUAAAUUAAAUUUCACAUUUUAUAUUAUUUAUAUUAUUGAAUUGUUUAGUCAUAUUGAAUAUUUAUAUUAAAAUUGAAUUCUUAAUUAUGCCAUAAAAUAUUCGUGUUAAAAUUUUAUAUUGGUAUCAAUUUCAAAUUUUAUUUUUAAAAUAAAUUUUAUUAAAAAAAUCAUAUUUUUAUAUUUAAUAUAUUUUUUAAUUCCAAAAUACAUAGUGACAAGAAUCCGAAGAUAAUUGAAACAACUAAGCAAACAAAUAAGCUAACCAGUAUAUAAAAAAUUAAUAAAUAAAUUAUGAGGUGAUGAAAGUUAAUAAAAAAUUUGAUUAAGGUGGACAAAUUUUAUUACGAUGGGUGACAAUGGUUAUAAGGACCCAAAAUUAUUUUUUAAAAUUUAACUCGAACAAAUAUAUUCGAUUCGAUUCGAUUCGAAUUCCAUCUCACUCAACUCGAUUCGAGAAAACUUCAAAUAAAGUUAGGAUGAUAAAAUGAGAUUCGAAAACUCGAUUAACUCGAAAAUUUUCGAUUCAAUUCGAUUCGAUUCGAUCGAAUGCUCACCCCUAAAUACAACCCAAAUACAGACUAAAAAACCUAAGCCCAAAAACCAGCCCAAUAAGCCCAAAUCUAACCCUAGCCCAGAAACCCAAAUCAGAGACAAAAAAUAAAUUUUUCAAACCCUAGGUGCGCCGCACCUAGGGUUCUCUGCCCCGUUGGCCACCGCAUGCUAGGACCUGCUGCCACCGCCCUUGUCCCAUUUGCCUCUGACGCCUAGCCACUGCCACCGCCGCCUGCAGCACCAACUCCACUGCUCAACCCCUGCAAAAUGAAAACCAAACACGCAAAGCAGAAGCAAAAACAAUGCAAAAUAGUAGAAAAAAUAGAUAAAAAAAUGUAUUGUAAAUUGGCUAUUAAAGCCUGGAUCUCAGCCUUGUAAUCUUUCUUCUUUUGCUUUCACGAACGUUAGAAAAUAAAAACAAAAAAAAAGUUUCAAGAUGAUUAUCUUUAUUAUUUUAGAUUUCGAUUUUAUUUUAUUUUAUUUUCAUUUUAUCUUCUUAUUUUUAAGCACGAAAAUAAAAAAGAAAAGGAGAAAGAAACAUACCUGAAUCAGCCCUUAGAUCCGUCGUUAUCAGCCCUUCGACGCCGUCGGAUUCAGGUUUAGGGAAGGGCUAAGACCCUUUUUUUUUCUCCUUGUUUCCCCAUUCUAAGAUUUUGGUCUUUGAACGCGUUUCAACGCACUGAUCGAGAACGCCCUCUUGCAACGCCGGCCGUCAGCCACGGCGGCGCAAGCGAUGGUCCUGUUGGCUGAAUUUAGAGGGAUCGAGAGAGAGGCUAAGAGCUCUCUUUUUUUUUCUGAAAAAUGAAGUUGGAAAUGUUGUUUUUUUUUGUUUUUUUUACUAUUUAUAUAGGGUAUAAAACGAUGCCAUUUUGGACCUUUACAUCGGUGGCCAAAACGACGUCGUUUUGCCCUGACCCGAGCGGUGACCCGACCCUGGGGGGAGGAUCCGCGUGUUUUCUUAAAAAGGGAUAUUUUCGUGCGCGAUCCAUCUGCUUUUGCAAAGCGUUGCAAUUUGCCCUUUUUUCCUUCUUUUCUUUUAUUUCAAUUUAGCCGCAUAAUUUUAUUUUUGUUUCAUUUUAGUCCCGCGUAAAGUGAUGCAUUUUGAAGGACAGGAUAUUUCCUUUUUGGUCCCCCUGCUUUCCUGCGCAUCACAAAUUAAUCCUUUGCCUAUUUUAUUUUUGAUUUCUCCCCUGGGAUUUUGUUUUGUUUUCAAUUUAGUCCCGUUAUUAUUAUUAUUUAUUAAACUAAUUAGUUUUAUUAUUAUUAUUAUUAUUAUUGCAUUUAUUAUUAUUACCUACCUUAUUAUUAUUAUUUACCCAUUUAUACCGUUUUUAGAUUUUGUUAUAUAUAUACAUACUUACAUAUUUUUAAUUUUUAUAUAUGUACGUACUUAUAUUUUUUAUAUACUUUAUACUUUAUAUAUACAUAUAUACAUACAUAUUUUAAUAUAUUUUUAAACAUAUAUAUACAUUAUCAUUAUUUACUUGUUUAUAUAUAUAUUUUAAACUUUGUUGUAUUUAUACACAUAUAUUUUUAUAUUUUUAUAAUUUUUUUAUUUUCAUUAUUACUAUUAUUGUUUUAUUCAAAAUUUAUUUAUUUAUUUACAUGUCUAUUAUUAUUAUCAUUAUUUUUUUAAUGUUUUAGUUUUUAUUUGUUUAUUACUUGUUAUUGUGUAUACAUGAUUGAUUUUUUUUAUAUUUGUAUUCUUAUUUAUUUAUCUUUCUGUUUUUGCCCAUAUUAUUUUUACUUACAUUAUCAUAAUCGUUAUUCCAUUACAUCAAUUUUUACCCAGAUUCGUAAAAAAGAAAAUUUUGAAAAUAAAGGCAAUACUCAGUAUUUGGGAUUUUCGAGAGGAUUGAGCCCUAACGCAUUGGGUUCCAAUUUUCUUCGUUGAAUCUAAAUAAUCGAGAACGCUCUUUAAUCAAAAAACAUAAAUAAAAAGUUCAUUAUCGAGAAUUCAAUACGUUGUGUCCUAACGCAUUGCAUAUGACACGUUCUUUUCUCGAAAUAAUGAUUUUUCUAAAAAAUAAUAAAGGCAAUAUUCAAUGUUUAGAAUUUGAGAAAUUGUGCCCUAACAUAUUGGGUUGCGAUUUUUUCAUCUGACUUAAACAAUUGAAUAUCCUUUUAAAUUUUAUUGCACGAGUUUUUUGGGCAAAUUCAUUCUUGAGGAGGUGAAAUAUCAUGCCCUAACUCAUUGGGUGUGACAUUUUCUCUCUCCGAAAUGAGAGGGUCUUAACGGGUAAUUUGAUUUAUACAAGUUUUUUUAAUAAAUGAUUGUAUUUUAAAUCUCUUUAGAGUUUCUAAUUCUCGACACCAAGACACUAAAUAAUCAACUACGUACCAAUCUUGGGCGUUACGAGGGUGCUAAUCCUUCCUCACAUGUAAUCGACUCUCGAACCCAUUUUUCUGAAUUUAGUGGACCAAGAUCGUUGUUUUAAUAAAAUCAAAUCGUUUAUUAAAAACAACCACUUUUUAAGGUGGCCCAAUCACACCUCAUCAAAAAAGAUUUGUGGCAACUCCCAUUUUCGUUUCAUUUUCAAAACCCAAGUCGACCCCAUUUUCACAAAAAAUUGGUGUCAACAAUGCACAUUAAAUUAAAGUUUAUGUUUGACAUUAUAGAUUGAAGCAAUAUUCAUGUGUAAAAUUUUGAGAUUUAUUUCCUUAAUUAAAGUAAUAUUUCAAAUAGAAUACUUAAACAAUCCUCCAUGUUGGCAAACUUUAUGUACAUUAGAAACAAACUAAAUAAUUAGAAUAAAUCUAAAGUAUGGCUUACAUUUAAUUUAUUCACAAUGUGACUUAAACUUUGGCCUUCAAGAUUUCACGGUCUCAAAUUAUGUCUUAAAAAUUUUAAGAUCAUUUUAGCUUUGUUAAAAAAAAUCAAAAGUUUAGAAAGUUAGAAUUGUUGCUUGAGGCGUGAAUAUCCCUAGUCUUUAGGAUAUUCAUGGAUUUACUAUCUCUCAAGAUUUAAUUUGUAUCAUGCACAAUGAAAAAAUUUAAAAAAAAAUUUCCCAUUUGAAUGGAAUUGAGCUAUUAGGCUCAAGCCUCGUGUGCGCAUAUAUAUUCUCUUAUUUUGAGUCUUACAAGUUUAUAAUAAACCAAAUCUAUAUAAACGUCAUUUAACAAGUGUAUCUAAAAUAUGUUUAAUAUGUGUCAUUCUUUAAAAUACAUGAAAACUUCAAAUAUGGUUUAGGUCAUUUUCAGAUUUGUCUUAUUUUAGGUUCAAAUCAUUCGAAUUUGAGGCUAAGUUUUUCAUGUCUAAUCAUUAUUAAUCCGAAUCAUUUUAGAUUUUGAUCAGUUUAAGUUUCAAUUAUUUUGUGAUCAAAUUAUUUUAAGUUUAGAUAAAUUUGGGUCAAUUCGAAUUUGACUUAAUUACGUAAUUACCUUUUUUUUUAUAAUAAAUUGAGCUGACUGAAAUUUAGAUUGGAAUUUAUUUAGUGUGCCUUUGUGUUUAAGUUGAAAUUUAAACAUCUGUAUUAGAAAUACACAUGUUAAUACAAUUUUAUGUUAAAGACAAUAAUACGACAGAGUUGAUUUGGGAGAUAAACAUGUUAAUUUUUUAAUCCCAACUAAAAUUGUACAUAAUUCUUUUAUGUCAUAUUAAAUACAUGUAUAAAAAUUGUCAAUAAAUUAUGCCUAGCGACAACGUUAUUCAAAUCUAAUUUCAUUGUUAAUACCUAUUUCUAUUUUUCUUCUAUUGUCUUCAACUUUAAAUAUGAAGGAAUUGAAAUUUUAAGAAUUGAGAUUUCUUUUCUUUGUAUUAGUGGACGUUUGAUUUUUCGUUUGAUUUUUUUACUAGAAUUGAUGCAUAUCUUUUCAGAUUUAUCAAUAUUUUUUAAAAUUAUUUAAGAUAUGUAUAUAAAUAUAUUACAAAUAUAAAAUGAAUGAAACUAAAUGCAUUUCAAAUUUAAAAUAUUCAUUAAUAAACUUAAUAAAUAAAAAUUUAUCAUUCAAAUAAAUCCAAAAUUAUUAAUAAUAAUCCAUCAUUUAAUAUGAAUGGAUAUUUUUUUAUUUGAUGAUCGGGUGAAUGGUUUUUUCUUAAUUAUAUCUUGAAUGUGAAAGUAUAUUCCAUUUUUUUUUAAAUUUACAUUCCGAUGAAGCAUUUUUAAUUAGUCAAAUUUCAAUUAAGUUUUUAGCAUAAUAGUAAAUUAUUAAAAGUUUAAUAUUUUAAAUAUUAUUCAUGCACAGGACGGUGCACUAUGUUCUGGCAGGUGUGACUGGAAUUGAUCGGAAUGAGUUGGUGCAAUUGGUACAGACCGAAAUUUUUACCAGUGUAGAAAAAUGGUGUUGGGUGUUUCGCAAUGUUAUCGAAACCAAACCAAACAGACCAAGAACCGAUGAACCCGAGAACUAGAGUAAACUGCAGUUAAAUUGCAAAUCAUCAGCUGAUUAAGCCGUAUUUUCACAUUUUCUAGAUUGGAAAAACAAAAAUUUCACUUCAAAUCCCUUGAGCUUUUGUUACACUUCUUCUCUUAACUCAAUGAAAUAAAACAAACCAUAAAAAGAAUAAGCACCGUUUCUUUUAUUACUUUUUCUAUUAAAAUAUUAUUUUUUUUCUCGUGAAAAACCUGGACUUAUAACAUUCAAUCAAAGGAAAAAAAAGACAAAUUAGGAAAGAUGAAAGAUGGGGAGAGGGUUUUAAAAUUUAAAGCCUUCAAAAUAGAUGAGUUUAGCGUUAUUAAUAUUAUUUUAUAUUAUUCAAUAGAAAAUUAAUUGUAUCGGUGGUUGAACCUGUGAGAUCAAGAAUUAAUUAUUUGAUUAAUUUGAUUAUCGAUUUAAUUUUAAAAAUAUUAAUAAUUCGAUACAAAAUUAAUAUAGUGCAGACAAAUUAAUAUAACAGAAAAUUGUACGAAACGAGCACCUUAAUUUAAUACAUAAUUUGACAUUCAUAUAAAAUAUUAUCUUGGAAAUAUAUUGAAAGAAGAAAGUAAUCGUAUGUAAAUGGGUAACUUGGAAGAGAUGAUGAAGCAGGAAUCAUUAUAUUAAAAGUGGCAUCUUCUCGAUGUACGGCUGCUCACUAUCUUGACUGCAUUUAUCGUUUGAUUCUUUUCUUAAUUAGCCAAACUCAUGUUAACAAUGGUAUAACAGUAAUUAAUUACUUCAUGGACAGAACAUCAAUAUAUAAAUACCCCAUAUAUAAUAAGCAACAACGUAUCAAAAUACACCAAAUAAUGGGAAUUGGAGAACGCCCAUUUAUACAAACAAAUAUAAGUGGGCAAAAUCAAUACUCAUAAUAAAGACACAAAGACGACUAAAAACCUUAUUAAACUAGAUCCAGUAUGCAGCAUAACAGAAAAGGGGGUGUUUCAAGGAGUAGAACGAGAAGGUGGUGAAGAAAAGAAAGGAAUAGAGGGAACUGCGGUUGGGAUUGAGGGAAUGCUUGGCAGAGGCGGCAGUCCGCUUGGCAAUGUGGUAGGAAGUGGAGGAAGCGCCCCAGGGUUUGGGAGAUUAGGGAAAGAUGGCAAUGGUGGAAAAGAGAAAGGAAUAGGGGGAAUUGCAGUUGGGAUUGUGGGGACUGAGGGAAUGCUUGGCAGAGGGGGUAGUCCUGUUGGCAAUGUGGUAGGAAGUGGAGGAAGCGCCCCUGGCCAUGGGAAUGAUUGUCGGGAUGGCGUUGGGAGAUUAGGGAAAUAUGGUAAACUUUGCGGUUGAGGCUGCUGCAGAAGGUGACGAGCUGCUCCCCCAACAUCAAUGCUUGCAAAUGACAAAGCAAUCAAGAAUGCUAAAGCAAGGCAAUUGAAAGAGGCCAUUUUUGUUCAGAGAUUUCGAAACAAAUGAAGCAGAUGAAACAAAGUUCUUUAUCUGAAUAGUUGUG